GAUAUCUCGCAGCUUAACUGUAAAAGUGCCAGUGAUACUGUGACGCUAGGAUUUGGGUGGCGGGGAUGGACUGUGUGUCUAGCGGAGAAAUGGUGAGAGAUCACACAGAAUAUGGAUUGUGAAGGCAGCUCACAAAGCCAAGAUGGACGCUGAGGCAAGAAAGUGUGGGGAUCAAACAGGAUUAGAUACCCGGGUAGUGCACACUGUAAUCGAUGAUAACUCGCUGUCGGCGAUAUACAGUCGGUGUCCUAGCGAAAGCGAUAAGUUAUCCACCUGGGGAGUACGACCGCAAGGUUGAAACUCAAAGGAAUUGACGGGGGCCCGCACAAGCGGAGGAACAUGUGGUUUAAUUUAUUGAUACGCGAGGAACCUUACCCGGGCUCGAACGAUGCAGGAAUAUGGUAGAGAUAUCAUAGCUAGCAAUAGUCUGUAUCGAGGUGCUUCAUGGUUGUCGUCAGCUCGUGCCGUGAGGUGUCGGAUUAAGUGCCAUAACGAGCGCAACCCUCGUCAUUAGUUACCAUCAGGUCAAGGUGGGGACUCUAAUGAGAAUGCCACCGUAAGGUGAGAGGAAGGGGGGGAAGACGUCAAAUCAGCACUGCCCUUAUGUCCGGGGCGCCACACGUGUUACAAUGGGAGGUACAGAGGGCAGCUAUCCAGUGAUGGAGCACAAAUUUCAAAAACCUUUCUCAGUUACUCAAGGAAUGCAUCACUCGAGUCCGGGAAGUUGGCUUCGGGUGUAAUCGCACGUCGGCCAGAGUGCGGUAAUGAUUUGUUACGGCCUACGCCCAGCGCCCAUCAAGCCUUUCUCGUUUGUGGUCCUUGAAGUUCGUGACCGCAAGGAGCGACCUAG
RNAcentral lists this ribosomal RNA (850 nucleotides) under uncultured bacterium. RNAcentral's name for it is "bacterial SSU rRNA". It matches the Rfam family "Bacterial small subunit ribosomal RNA", at positions 596 to 1460 of the family's 1533-position model. The record is from RNAcentral.